This 338-nucleotide unclassified non-coding RNA is filed under the name Hevea brasiliensis (rubber tree). The record is from RNAcentral. Lineage: Eukaryota; Viridiplantae; Streptophyta; Magnoliopsida; Malpighiales; Euphorbiaceae.
AAUGACUUCAUUUAUGACUUAAAUAAUUGAGGUAAUGUUCUCUCUAUAAUUGUAUUGUGCGUCCUAUGGUAAAAAUAAAAAUUGAAGUUCCCAUUAAUUGUGUUUAAAUAAUAUCCAUUGAGUAGCUUUGUGUAUUAAUUUUGAAAGUCUCAAUAAUGAAUUCCAUUGAAUAGUUUUUGCUUGUAUUUUUCUGAAAAACAAGCAGAAGUGGAAUGCCAACUUUUCUACAAUGCUUGGAACUUAGGUUAACUUUGUGCAUAUUUUAAAUUGAAUGGAAUGGAAUAGAGUGAUUAAUUUUAUUUUGCUCUUUGUAUAGGACUAUUGCAAAGCACUAUAUU